This 7280-nucleotide long non-coding RNA is filed under the name Homo sapiens (human). Its description in RNAcentral is "HSALNT0116202". Lineage: Eukaryota; Metazoa; Chordata; Mammalia; Primates; Hominidae. The record is from RNAcentral.
AGGAAUAUAAAGACAGGAAACCACUGUAACACUGCAGCUUGAAUUCUGGGAGGUAGUACUUUCAAAUAAUUCUUUAUAAUGGUAAUAAAUUUACUGGAUCCACCCCACAUUUAUCAGGCCUUUCCUAGGUGGACUGACAUCAUCACUUAAAUGGAAAUCCCUGUCUUCAUUUAUUAGUUAAGGUACAUUGCUCCUCGGGGAACAGAUAAGCCUGUGACACAGUGGAGCAAAGUGUCUGGAAUCUGAUUUUCCAAUGGACAUUCCCAUAUGUUUGAACAAAAGAGUCAUAAAUACUAACUAUAGCACCUAUUUUACAGAAGCUGAACUAAAGACACAGAAGCCUUCAAAUGGAAAGGAUAUACAACAGAAACCACAGCUGUGCGGAAGACCACCCAGGUACAUGGUCGUGGGUGAAAUGACUAGAAGAUUAGAAUCCUCUGGAGCCCAGAGCUCAACACAUGGGUGUCUAGCUCCGAACAAUUUUAAAUCCCACAAAUGACAGAGAAUUUGGUUUUCAACUUUUUUAUACGCGAUUUUUUUUGUAACAGCUAACAUUUCUUGCAUACCCACAUGGAAAGAAAGAAAAAGAUGACCUGGCCUCCUUGUAAACGUGUGAAUGGCAUACACAUACAGCACCUUUACCAGAAAAGAGGUCUAAGAGUUCGGAUGGCAAACAAACUAGAAUCUCUGAAUUUAUGGGAUAUUUCAGGUGACCCAAUGCCAAAAAGCAUCUCAUCUUCUAGUAGUUGUGGAAUCUUCUGGAAAAGAGAUCCAAAUCAACUGGCUUCCUUGUCCCCUCUCCAUGUGUGACACGGAGCAGCACCCACUUCCAGUGUAGCUCCCCUUUCAGGGGAGGGCUACAAAGGCUGUUUUCCUCACAAGAGUUCCUACAGCUGAUGUGACUUCAGAGACUCCUGUAGACUAUGGAAACAGGGUGGUGAAGCGUCUCCUGAUGGAGCGCACUGCAGAAAGCAGGGUUGUCUGUGGCUGUAAAUUAUUUCACUCUUUGCUCUCAUCCCAGAGAAACAGUGUUAGGGUAGCACCUAAAUCUGCAAAUCCAAGAGCCUUGCCCCUCAGAUAAAUGAGCGUUGCCUCUGCCUUCCUUGAAAGGAGCUGGGGCACAGGUCACUGCCACCAUCCUCCUUCCUGGCUCCCUAGUCUUUUUCUUUCCCUGAAUUCAGUAUUUUCACCUCUCUUCUUUCUGCUUAUUCUCUAGAAGCUCUUUGUCCAGUCCUGAAGCAACUGCGAUGGUUUCUAGGUGAUUCUGAGGGAAGGGUGACAUGUCAUUGUCUGGAAGUUUUGUGUAAGGCUACGGGUGGGGCAGUGAAAUGGGUUAGCUCCACUGAGCAUUUAAUGAUCUAAUUAGAACUUGGAUGAACCAAAAUAUUUUUUAAAAUCAUGUGGAUUGUAUUAGAUGGCUUCAUAUUUAUAACUAUCUGAAAUGGACAAGCCUCUAACACUGAGGAAGCCUUUUGGGGUGAAAGCCGAGAAGCUGCCUUAAUGCCAAGGCACACCUGAGCACAGGUAACAACAGCCAGGUGCUCUGGAUGUCCACCUACGUCCCUCCAAAGAUCAUCACAAUGCAUCCCUCAUGCCCCACAUCAUUGCUUCAGAGGCUCAAGCUGCCUGUCAUUCUUAUCACCCAAACUGUCAGUCCCAUAUGGGUCCAUACGUUUCCUAAUAUCAGCCAAUUUCCAUGCUUCCCUCUCUCCUAAGCCUUUUUUCUGUGUCCCCUGAAAUUCCUGUUCAUGAUAAACUAACUGCCCUGUAUAAUCAGCCUUUUGAAAGGUUUCCCUGUCCACACUGACUUAACUGAAACUGAUCCAUCUCCCUUGCAACCUUUUCAAGUGAAGGCUGCUUUUCAUUUCAUAUUCACAUCUUUCAAGGCCAGAGGUGAAGAUGGUUGUCCCUUGGCUCCUUAACGACGCCCCCAAAUGCUUGGGUUCCUCUCCCUUGCAAAACCCACCACUCCUUUGAGACCCAUGCUUCACCCUCACCUCCUCACUGCUGCCCCCUGAUCUCCUGGAUGCAGCCCCUCAUUCUUGAAGACUGUAGCUUCAGGCUGUUCUCACCUUUUCUCCGAUUCUUGUCAUCAUUCUGGGGACUUGAACUCCUGUAUGAAUAAGCCACCAUCAAUCUAUUCUUUCUGUUUUACCUUCUCAUCCUGCUGACCUUUUUCUCAUCCUUCUAUUCGCACGGUCCAUCCCCAGGCUCUGUCAUCCUGAGAAACUGUACCACCUCUGAAAUCCCAAUUCCAAAUAUGUCUCUUUCUGAUGAUCACCUCUUAUCUUUCCAAAUCUCUUGCUAAAGUAUGAACAUUGCUUAAAUUCUUCAACUUCAUCAAGACGUCUAAUUAAUUGGCCCCAUAUUUCCUCUCCAGCCAUGGGCCUCUCCAGGCCCACCUUCCUUCCUGGUCUGACAGCUUCUGUCAUCUACCACCAGAAGCAUUGCCUGGAAAACACAGAUUUCCGUGGUCUUCUUUAUCUGAUGGCAAAAUUCCACGCCUGGAAAACAUCACCUCCACCUUCCCUGGGCGUGUAGCCCUGCAGCUGGACACAAUGGCACGAUGACUUUCUCUUAAAUAAUGGACCACAAACUUCAAAUGGGCAUUUACAACUUCCUCAAGAUUGUAUUGUGUUUCUCCAGUGACAUGUUCUCUCUUCUUUCUUCCCCUCAACCCGCCGAAAAAAGGGGUGAAAUAAAAAAGAUGAAAUGAGGAUAGUUACAAAAGCAUAGGAGAUAGAAGUUUUCACAUAGCAAGGGUAAGAAAUAUUUUUAUAAAUGUUGGUAAUAGUUAUGAUAAUUAGUAGAAUUAGGAUAACAGUGAAGUAGUUAUAGAAGAAAAUGAAUUUAUUACUUUUAUCUGGAGUUGCACCAAUUUUUUGGUUCCUAAGACCAAUGUAGGUAGGACCUGCCUCUCUCCAGCCAUCCAUACUUUAUAUUUCACUGAGGAGAGAGGAAUCAUGGCUGAUGUCCUGAUGUGCUCAACAGAUGUUUCCUAAGCACACUCUAAGUGUCAAGUACUCUUCUAUGUGGAAGACGCAGCAGUGAAAAAUGACAUCUUCCUUCGUGGAGCCAUCAUACUGCAUCUCUCCUCUUCACAUCCCUGCAACUAUGAACACACCUGCACCUGCACUCACCCUCUCCAGCCCCUCUCACAACACAAAAAGUGGCCUUCCUCCUGUUAGGGGCCGAUUCCUCCCUCUCUGCUGGAUCUGAGCCCUUCUUGCCUUCCAAAGUACUUCCCUUCUUCAGUUCUUGGAUCUCUCUCUCAAAUUACCGGUAAUUCAUCUCUGUGGAAUCCUUCCUGUGAGUGUAAAACAAGUUCUGGCCCUUCGAUCUUUAAAGAACUGUCUUGUGGUUGCUGCAUUUCUCUUUCUCUUCAUAGCAAACCCUCUAGAAGGAAUUAUCCUCCCCUUCUGUUCACUCUUCAUCCCAUAAAACUCUGGCUCCUGUCUUUACGCAUCCCCCAAAACUGCUCAUUAUGGUCAUUCGUGACUUUUGCCACAGUGUCACAGGCGAAGGACGCUCCCUGACCUCAUCUUCUGCAAACUCUCAGUAGCAUUCAACACAAAUCACCAUUCCUCCUCUGGAAGGCCCGCCUUCUCAGCUUCCCCAACACCAUAAAUCAGCAUUCCUCCUCUGGAAGCCCCACCUUCUCAGCUUCCCAAACACCAUAAAUCAGCAUUCCUCCUCUGGAAGCCCCGCCUUCUUGGCUUCCCCAACACCAUAAAUCAGCAUUUCUCCUCUGGAAGGCCUGCCUUCUCGGCUUCCUCAACACCAUAAAUCGCCAUUCUCCUCUGGAGGACCCGCCUUCUUGGCUUCCUCAACACCACAAAUUGCCAUUCCUCCUCCGGAAGGCCCGCCUACUUGCCUUCUCAGCUUCCUCAACACCAUAUGGCCCUGGAUUGUCUUCUACUUUCCUUGAGGUUCCUUCUUGGUCUCCUUUGUUGGUUGCUGCUCUUUACCCAAUUUCCAAACACUGGUGUUCCUUACGGUUCAUCCAAUCACGGUCUCUCCUUUCUUGGCUUCUUCUGAGAAUCCCCAUGGGUUUAAAAUUUCCUCUACAUGCUGGUAAUUCCAAAGUUAUCUCUCCAUCUCGGACCUCAGGUCUCACUGUCCUCCAAGCUCUCACUCACACAUCCAAGUCCCGACUUAUCUCCUUCUCCAUGCUUCAGGCAUAGCAAAUGUGUUCAGAAUUGAAGCUCAGAUCCCAUGCCUCUGAUCUCACCUGCCCCAUUUUGCUCAUCUCAGUCAAAUAGAACUUUCAAACUCCUUCCUUUCCCUGACCCACAGCCAGUCAGUCACCAAGUCCUUGAAUUCUGCCUCUCAAGAUUCACUUCUUUUUGUCUCCGCUGCCAACUGUCUUAAUCCAGAGCCUCUCCAUAUUGCAACAAGAUUGACAUACUCAAAAUGUAAUUUGGAUAAUGCUAACCCCUUGCUUAAACCUUCAAGGAUUUCCCACUAAACUCAGAACAAAACCCAUAUGCUUAACCCUGGUGUCCUUGGUCCAGGUGGCCUUCAUCUUUUGGCACUGUCCUUCCUGCUCAGUAUUUUCCAGCCACCUUGGUUUAAUUUAGUGUCUUGAAUAAAGCAAGCUCUUCACCUCCUUGGGGGCACUGGAUGUGUGCUUUCCUCUGCUUGGGAUGCUCUUCUGCCCACUCCCAUAAUGCUAGCUCCUUCAAUAGCUGGUGUCCCCUCAACGCUUAGUCUCAGGGCUCCUCAACUACCCCUCAUCUAAAGUAGGUGACAUCCCUAUUUGUUUUCAUCCUAGCAUCAAUUAUGAUCAGUAACUGUGACUUCCUCAUUUACUAUUUUAUCCAACACUAGCACAAUAAUAGUACAAGAAAGUAUUCAAUACAUUUUUGUUGAAUGGAUAAAGGUUAUUUCCAUAAAAUUUCAGUGAUUAAACCUAAGGUGGAGGAAGCUGGUAUAAAUGGAGGUACUUCUGAAAUGCAAUUGGUUCAAAGGCCCUACAAACCUAUUGACUCCAGACAUCAUACCUGAUUUCUGAAGGGCUCACCUGGAACUGCAGAGUGACUUUAGUUUCCUACAAUGUGAUAAUGUCUUUGCCAAAGAAUUUGGACUAGGGGGAAGGAGUGUUGAAAGGUGCUAUAUGAAUAUGAAUUGUGAACACAAAUCAGAGAAGGGGCUAAGAAGCUAAUAUAAAUGUAUUAUUUUAAGGAGUUUAUUUUUAUUUUGGGAAGGCAGUGAUACAUAGUGUUUAAUUUUUAAUCCAAAUCUAAAAAAUCAAGAUACCUACUAAAGAUCAACGAAAACAGAAAGGAACCACAUACAAAGAAAUUAGAGGUCUGCUGUGGGUCUCUGCCAUACAGUAAUGAAUUAGUAAUUAACCAGCAUUUUUGUAGGUUUUAUCAACUCACUUUCUAAGUGAGUAUUACGCUUACUUUACUGUCUAUUUUGUUGCCACUAUGUAAAGCUGGAAUAUAAACAGCAUUUAAAAUCAGAGGAAUUUUAGUAUAGCACAAUAUUUGCAACUUACUUGGCAACCUAUUUAUUUACAAAUAUUCUAAGAGAUGAUUGAGCUUCACUCUCCCUUGUCUACAAAAAGCUAAGUUAGAGAAACAAAAAUGAUUUGUCCAAGGAUGCUUGUAACAGACAUUAAUAUAAACAUUUUAUUUUAUCAAGUGAUAACAGUUGCCUCAAGCAUCCAGUGAGAUCCCAAGAGUUUCACCAGCUCCUGGAGCAGUUGCCCCCACCGCUGGCAGGAAUGCUGGGACAAGAGCUCUCUGCUUCCUCUCGGGAGCCUCAUUGCCACCAUCUGCCUAGAGGCCAGUAGGUCUUGUCAUGAAUAAUCAGGAUAUAAACGUCCCUGACUGAUAUGCCCUGUUCACGACAGUCACCAAAGAAUGCCUGACUCCUGUUCCAUCUCUCCAGGCUGAGCCCCAAGCUCCACAUCCACUCUGUGUAUCCUUUUUCCUACCACAUAUUCCAGCUGCCCCAAACCCUGAGACCCUUCCCCCAUGCUUGGGGAACUCAUGGGCAAUCAGCAGUAACUGCCCUAUGACUGCAAUCUGCUUUCUCAAUGUUUUUCUUACAUUCUUCCCUAACUGAAACAGGCGUGUCCCUGAGGACACUACUUCGCCUGCAGCACCCUCAAAUGUUUUUGUGUCUGCAAUCCCAGUACCACAAAGCAUUGCUCUACAGUGUUCUGCUGUAUUAAUCCAAACAUCCUUGCUGGGUCAGCUUCUAGUGGCUAUGAGACUAUCCAUCUUCCAAUGAGGUGCCAGGGAAGAAUCAGUCUCAUUGAUAAUGAGACACGAUCAGAAAUUUUCAUUUCACAAAUAAUAUUAUCCUUAUUGGCCGGAGGUGAAUUCCAAGUAAAUAUUCAUUGAUUCUUCAUCGAACAACUCUUGAGUGUACACUUACUAUGCGUAACGCCAGGGGCCAUAGAGAAAUCAUAAAUGAAUCAGACAGGGAUUCUGCCUUCCUGGAGCUUGCAGAAGAAAUAAGACGCACACCAACAAACCAAGUAGAUGUAGAAAGAGCCAAGUGAGCAGAGAGCAACCAAAGAGGUAUAAAAAAAGAAAAAGAGGAGGUGGCUUGGAAUCAAAGAGGCCAAAGCCUGGAGUGUUUGAGGAAUCCAAGCAGCUGCUUGGCUGCAGAUGAGAAUUGAAAGCACCUGCAUACACACAGCCUACCUACUGGGGCUGAGAACUGAGACCACUGAGACCUAAUUAUUUGUUCCAGAAGAAUUCUGCCCUGGAAGAUAAGCUUGUAAAGCAAUAAAUAACUUCACUGUUUGCUUCAAGAAACUCCUGCAAAUAAUUUAACCAGACAGUUUGCUCAUCUGAGUAGCCAUCUCUCUUAACAGGAAAUCAGACGGUUCACCUGGGCAAUAAUAGCUCUUGUAUAAGACAACAGUUUCCUUAUGAAGGCUUCCUUAGGACUUUGUCUCACUGUGUCCACUGACCCCAAACUACUAUGUCAUUGAUCUGCUCAACUCCAAUCAGUUUCCCACUUGAAAGAUCUGCAAUAAGCGCUUAAGCCCAGAUCCCCAGGCUCUAUGAACACCCUCCCCUGACCUCUCUUUCCUGUGACACCUCCAUGACUGUCCACACGAUGGUGUCACUUCCUGCACUAGAUCUAAUCAGCGCUGCUCUGCAAUAGAUUUUCUGUGGUCAUUUGGGAGGUUUGAGACAGAGGACAAGGUAGAACAUGCAGUAACAAAAGAUGAAAAACACUUCUCAUUUUUCUUAUUUGUAUGUCAUUACAAUGUCAAAACAACUUAAAUAUUUUGAAUUGUGUGUAUAUUCUUG